GAUGAACGCUGGCGGCGUGCCUAAUACAUGCAAGUCGAGCGAACAGACGAGGAGCUUGCUCCUCUGACGUUAGCGGCGGACGGGUGAGUAACACGUGGAUAACCUACCUAUAAGACUGGGAUAACUUCGGGAAACCGGAGCUAAUACCGGAUAAUAUAUUGAACCGCAUGGUUCAAUAGUGAAAGACGGUUUUGCUGUCACUUAUAGAUGGAUCCGCGCCGCAUUAGCUAGUUGGUAAGGUAACGGCUUACCAAGGCAACGAUGCGUAGCCGACCUGAGAGGGUGAUCGGCCACACUGGAACUGAGACACGGUCCAGACUCCUACGAGAGGCAGCAGUAGGGAAUCUUCCGCAAUGGGCGAAAGCCUGACGGAGCAACGCCGCGUGAGUGAUGAAGGUCUUCGGAUCGUAAAACUCUGUUAUUAGGGAAGAACAAAUGUGUAAGUAACUAUGCACGGCUUGACGGUACCUAAUCAGAAAGCCACGGCUAACUACGUG
This 497-nucleotide ribosomal RNA is filed under the name uncultured bacterium. RNAcentral's name for it is "partial 16S ribosomal RNA". It matches the Rfam family "Bacterial small subunit ribosomal RNA", at positions 28 to 507 of the family's 1533-position model. The record is from RNAcentral.